AGAUUGAACGCUGGCGGCAGGCCUAACACAUGCAAGUCGAGCGGUAGAGAGGUGCUUGCAUCUCUUGAGAGCGGCGGACGGGUGAGUAAUGCCUAGGAAUCUGCCUAGUGGUGGGGGAUAACGUUCGGAAACGGACGCUAAUACCGCAUACGUCCUACGGGAGAAAGCGGGGGACCUUCGGGCCUCGCGCCAUUAGAUGAGCCUAGGUCGGAUUAGCUAGUUGGUGAGGUAAUGGCUCACCAAGGCGACGAUCCGUAACUGGUCUGAGAGGAUGAUCAGUCACACUGGAACUGAGACACGUCCAGACUCCUACGGGAGCAGCAGUGGGAAUAUUGGACAAGUGGGACGAAAGCCUGAUCCAGCC
Molecule: ribosomal RNA, 364 nt
Filed under: uncultured soil bacterium
Lineage: Bacteria
Description: bacterial SSU rRNA
Rfam family: Bacterial small subunit ribosomal RNA
Source: RNAcentral